Bombus huntii is the source of this 8699-nucleotide long non-coding RNA. RefSeq lists it as uncharacterized. The record is from RefSeq and is a predicted model, not a curated record. NCBI's taxonomy places the organism in Eukaryota, Metazoa, Arthropoda, Insecta, Hymenoptera, Apidae. The transcript has 2 exons.
AGUCACAAACACAUAUUUUGAUGCUUAAUUUCGUUAAUUUUCAUUUUUGUACAUAUUUCUAACUAAUCAUGUAUUAACCUCUCAUCUGCAACCUUAUUCUUACUGGCGUUGUUUGCAUGCUCUGGCUCUUUCGAGACCAUGCAGAUUUUGAUUAGAUUUUUUUCUUUUAAACAAUCCUCAAAUAUUCUUGAAAAAUUCAUUUUCAAAGUUUCUAGAAUAUUAUCCAAUGGUUUUUAUCGUUACGUGCUAUUUUCAUUUUCUUAAGCAAAGCAAAAUUUGAACAAAAACAUGGAUAAAAUGAAGAAUCACUUAAAAUUACUGGAAAACGACCCAAUGUGUAGACGACGGGGUUAAUAUCACACAGAUAAAAAUGUACAGAUCCAUUAACUUACGCAGUUAUCGAAAAACAUAAUUAAAUUAAGGGCGUAAAUUUCGUAUUCCUUAAUUACCUAAUUAUACGCGAAUAUAUUUUUAUUACACGUUUAAAUCUAUAUGUAUAAUCUACAUAUUACUAUUUAUAUCUUUGAUACAGUGUGAUAGUACAGAUUAAAUUACAUAAUCCAAAUUAGAAUAACUUAAACAAGAACAAUCUUUAGUUGUAUAAACAUAUAUAAAAUAUUUACCUUGAAUGAAGCAAUGAACGAUUUUACAUCUUUUCGUAUUUGUGCUUAACGAAAAUCGAACAAAUUAACUGCGUAAUUCUUCACUUAGUACUUAUUAUAUUACAAAAUUAUAUCUUCUGCACGAUAUACAUCUUGCCACAUCCGAACCAAAAAGAGGAAUGUACGAUACCAGUCUUCUGUUAUUAUAGCGUUAGUACUGCUUGCUGAUUGGCUACAAUCCUGGGUACAACAUGGAACCUGCGCGCGAUCCUUGAGCAGUCAUGUAUAACAAUACAUACAUAUAAACGUAUAAUAUUCAAAUGUUAAAGUUGGCACUAUUUGUUCAAAAUUACAUUUUAAAUCAAUUGACAAGGUUUUGCUUUUUUAGCUCGAAAUAUUCCCUUUAAGCGAGGUAACCAUCCGUACUCCAUUUUGCAGUACAGUACUACUUUCUCGACAAUUGUACUGCAAAGUUGUUAUGUACUGAUUAUGUCCUGCAUUUAAUACUACUUGGGAAGAAUUAUUAUUAGAAUUAUCAUUAGAAUAUCAUUAUCAAUUGUAUGUAACAAAUAUAGUAUUUUGAAAGUCAACCUAUUUCUUUAAAAGAAACAAAAAUAAUUAUCGAAUUUUUAACGAGCCUUUCUGAUACAAAUGCAGAUGUUGAAAAAGUUUUUUUCGUUGAUCGAUGUUUAUUGGUCUGCUCGGAAAUAGUCUUCAACAAUGAACUUAACAAUUAAUUAUAUUGUCAGCUGUCAUGAAAGUAAAAACUAAUAUACGAUAUAGUUGUGAAGAAUUUUUAAACAUACUAAAAGAAAAUGAUGAAAGUUUAAAAGAGGAAUAUUCAGAAUCAUUUAAGAGGAAUAUUUAGAAUCAAAUUUCAUUAGUCUAAUUCUUCGAUAAAAAAACAAUUUUAUAAGAGAGGAGACGCGCGUAAAUCUCUUUCAAAGUGAGCUGAAAUCCAUUGAGAUCGUGCUUUCAAGUUAUCUUAGAAGGGGCAGAGAAAGGAAAAUUCGUUAUCCCAUUACCAACAAUUGCCUCUGGCCCUAUUUUUGUUAAAAGUACAUUCGGUUUACUUGUAUUUUAUAUUCAGUUUUGAAGGGGAUUUAAUCGUUUAAGCCUUUCGCUACGGCAGUGUGCUCCGUCGGAGUGACACCGCUGUACGGGCCAUCGUGCCGCCGGAAUAGCGGUACUGAACGGAGCACUGCGACGGAAAGCAUUCAUAUGAUGAGCAGGGCUCGUGAUUAAGUGGUAUCCCGCGGAUGUCGUCUAUAGACGACGCUCGUACACACAGGUCAUCGCGCAAAUGCCGUCUAUAGGCAUGCCGCAUGUAUAUGCCGCCUAUAAAUGUAAUGAUAAACAAACUCCGGGCAAAACAAUGUCGCCGCUAGAUGCAACUGUCGAAUGAACACGAAUUUGAAUUUUCCGACUCUCCCCCGACCAGUAUAAAUAAACGGAUGCGAUCGCGAGCGACAGAGUAUCGAACAUUAUCGUACGGUAUCGUACAGUAUCUCCGAGUAUCUCACGAGUAUUUAUCGAGUUAAUGCGACGAGCAUUUACGAGUAUUUAUUCCGCUAUCUUAUUCCGCGAUUUGUACUUUGUACUAACGACUCACGUAUUCGGCUGUACGUUAAUUUAUUUAUUUAAUCGAAAUAUAUUUGACGAAUUGCGGCAGCAAUUUCUCGCUCUCGUUAUUUCACAUUAUCUAUCCUCGACCAUCCCUCCACAUAACUAAGAAAAGAAACUCUUUUUUCCACGUGCGAUAUCUAACGCAACUGAAUCUGAGACAAAAAGACUUUGUUUUUAAUGCGUAUCAUUACUAUCAUCAGAAUCACUAUCUUGUGGCGUAUCUCGUAUAUUGCAUCUUUAAUGUAUUUAAACCCUCGUAUAAUGCCUAUUAUAAUGACGAGAAAAAUUAUCUUUUUCCGUACGGAAAGCUUUAUGUUACAAAGGAAAUACUAAUACCUUGUUUGAACUUUUAAUAAAAUUAAGACAUCGAUUCCCUCCAUAUCGACUUAUCAUUGUCAUUUCAUUGCUGUUUUUCGUUUUUUAUGGCUUAUAAUCUGCAGUCUAUCCGAAUGUAUCAACAGCGAGACAGGCAAGCUAGUGGCAAGCGUUAUGUGGGAAAACGUUAAUAUUAAAUACAACAAUACUAAUACAAUAAUAAUAUACAACAAUAAUACAACAAUGAAAAUAGUGACAAAAGUGAUGAAUUUAAUAAAAGGCGGAAAUAAAGCAUUGAUGCACCGAAAGUAAAAAAGUUUUUCACAAGAUAUUAGUGCUGAUUACGAAGAUUGACAUUUGUAUACUGACGUGCACUAGCUUAAUGCAGGGAGAAGCCUUUACGGACUGAAAGUGAGAACUUCAAAAAAAGUGAGGUGAAAGGAACUCGACAGCUUGCAACAAAAAAUCGAACGUAUUUCUAUUUUGAGCAAUUUGCCAUUUUUAGCGGACAAUACACAGCACUUAAGUAGUUUAAGGAACAAGGACGUUAAAUCUGAUGUAAAUAAAUAAGGAAAACAUGAUCGCCGAGAAAGCGAGCCUCGUGUUUUUGCUCGACGAUUUCAUAUCCCUGCGUGUUUCUGAAGCCUCGGAACAAGCAAGCACACCCGGUUCUGAUCUCACAUGUAGCUUCAUUUUUUCUUCUUUAAUAAUUGAUAUCGCGGAUCUAGCGACAACCAAACCGCCCAUUAUUCUCGCUUAAUUAUACUUCUAUCAGCUGUUCAUAGAUGGCUAGCGACAUUUGAUAAUAAUAGCAGAGAGGAAAUUUCCUCUCUAGCAUCAGUCAUCAUUUCCGAGUAAAUAUCAGCAAAGAUUUAAUUUAAUUAUUUUGAUUAAUAACCAAAUAUAUGUAACGAAAAUAUGAACUAAUCGUUUCUAGUAACCCAAAUUUUUGUUUUCUGUAAUAGAAAUUUUUACUUCCUUAGUCUUUCUUCAUACUGGGCAGCAUGUGUAAAUCGCUCACACACACAGCAGGUUUCUUUCUUUAAUGGUAGUUGGUUCGGUAUUGAACUCGACUUUGGUUUUGAAACAUUGGUUUUUGAAUAUUAGAAAAAUUUGUUUAUACAAUAUUUGCCUCUUUUUCUAUAAUUGAUAAUCCUCCCGGAAAUUUCGUCUCAGAUAGUGGAAGCGAAGACACUGUUGUACACAUAAUAUUAGGAGUAGUAUUAUGCCAUAUGCUACAUGCCAUCAAGGAACAAUUCCUUACCUUUGGAUAAAAACCUUUUAAUAAAAUAUCAGUCGACAAUAUUAUUGCAUCCUCUCCUAUUACUGCCCUGUAUAAUGUAUUUUUAUAUAUUCUAGAGACUGGUUCGUUUGUAACUGCUUGUACAAAAUAUCCAACAAUUGCACAAUUUAUGACUUGUUACAUCAGCUUAUCUUCCUAGUAAUACUGAUCUUAAGUUGUUAAAAGGACAUUAAGCUGCAACCUCUGGAAAUCUAUAAAUAAAUAUUUGUAUAAAUAUACAAUGUGUAUACAAAUAUAUAUAUACAAUAUAAAAUAAAAAAAUAUAUAUAUAUAUUUAUGUAUAUAUAGGAAUAUGUGUAAAAUGUAUAUGGAAAUUUGAAAAAUGUGUAAGCAUAAAAUGUGUGUGUAAGCAUAUGUGAUGUGUAUUCCACAAACAUCAUCAAAUAUUUGUUUCAAUGACAUUAAUGUAUCCAGAUUGAACCCACUCGUUUCUUGUAUCAUUAAAUACCAUAUAUGAAUUAAGAUAUCUUUGUCCACAGUGAUUAUGUUUAAUAGUUAUGUUAAUAUUGUUACCAUCCACAUAUAAAGCAGCUAUAUACUUUGGUAGAUUACAACUGUUACAACGAUAUAAGUAGUUGUUUCGAUAAUCAAUAUUGUAUGUACAAUGAUUGUGCACAUACACAAAUAAAUCUGCUCCUUUCUCAGGAAAUUUCUGCAUCUGUGCAACAUAUAUUUAUAAAUGUCAAGAAUCCACCCAACAAAGAAUAAAAUUAAUGCAAGUUCCAGGUCAAAAUGUAUCAUUUAACCAAAUUAUUACAUAGUAAUAUUGCAAAACAUAAGACAAGUUAUCUUUAACUAGAAAAUGCAAAGUAACACAUAAUAUGAUUUUCCAGUGAUAAUGAAAUGUUCUAAAUAAAUUAUCAAACAAACUGCCUUGGUCUGAAAAUAUUCAUUGAUAAUAUUCAUUUAAAUUGAAUGUUCUAAGAGCUGUCAUUAUAUUUUACAUAAAUCAACAAUUUUAGAUCAAGCAAUGUAAACCGACAUCCUUCAUAUAAUGUGUAUUAUAUAUUUCCUCGCAAUAGACAAAACCUGAUAAUGGUCAAAUUGAAACAAUUCACUUAUAUCGUGUAUUUGACAUAUACUUACACAAAAAAUAAUCAUCUCAUAAUUUUCACAAUAUAGUUUUCCAUUUCCAUAAUGUUGAAGUAGAUAACUGUUUGACACUAAUUAUAUCACCCAAUUAUACCACCUGCAAGAGAUAAGUAAAAAAACCACAAAGUAUUGUGUUCAUUCCUCUUAAGUCUAUUUUUCAUAGGCAGAAAAUACUUAUCUGAAUUUCUUUUCUGGUUCUUAGCUUCCAAUUGACAUAAAUACUAUUAAGUAUGUGGAAUUGUUCAGAAGCUGCCAUGACAGAUGUAUAUAUUCACAUGAAAUUCCUCAGUACUUCAUAUUUCCAGACAUAUUUUAAGUAUUGAAUUACUCACGGAUCGUUGCACAAAUACUAUAUACGUAUUGCAUGGAUUCAAGAUACAGCGAACUUCGCUUAAUUAGAAUUGCUGAAUGAGAUAAUGUAUUAGGUUGUCCGAAAAGUUUCUUUCAUUUUGUAAGGCGAUAAUAGAUGAGCAACAAUUUCUGUUUUAUAUUAUUUUAUUGAAUUAGAUAUGAUCCAUUCCGUUCUAUUUCUAUUAUUAUAUUCGUGCAUAAUUCAAUAAACUAAUAUAAAACAAAAUACAUUGUGCGUCUAUUAUUUCCUUAUAAAACGAAAGAAACAUCUCGGACAACCUAAUAAUAAUACUUUAGUACUUUAAUAUGGAUAUAAUUGAAAUAAUAUUUAGAAUAUCAAGAUUAUAAUAAUGGCAUUAAAUGCAGCCUUUAAAAAUAAUUAAUUUUAUCAUGCUAGAAAUUAACCGAUAAACAAUUUUAAUUAAUCUAAGCGCAUUUGACACUUUCAUAACCGGAAUCAAUAAGAUUAUUAAAUUGUGGAUCGAUUAGAGACGUCAAUAAUUAAGAUGGAACACGCAUAACCUGAAAUCGAUCAUGUAUUACGCCAGUUAAUAAUGUUCUCGUUAUCCCUUAGAUAGCAGCACAAACUAGCGAAAAUGCAUACCGGUAAGGCAGUUUCUUUAUUUUCUAGCGGGAAAAAAAUUUAAAUAUAUUUAAAUACACGAGUAUUAAUAUUAAUAUUAAUAAUAUAUUUAAAUAUAUUAAUAUAUAAUAUUAUGCAUAUGGACUUAAAUAUAUUAGUAUAUUGUAAUAUCGUAAAGUAAUUUAAAUUAGAGGUCGGUUGAAAUUAGAAAAAACCGUGUACGUCGUCUUUCUGUGGUUUGUUUACAUUUAAGAGCGCCUAUAUGACUAAAGUCACCUAGUUCUUACAUAGAUAUGAGAAAAACAACAAACAACGUUAGAACAGAAGGACGGUUUCGUGUUUCAAGGAGGGACGACCGAGAGGUCAGAGUGUGCGAGUCAAAAAGUGUGUGCGUUGCGAGAGUCAGAGUUGAUCGAGACACCGAAGAGUAGAGUUGAGAGAAUUGACCGAGUUGUCUAGAGAGAGAGAGAGAGAGAGAGAGAGUGUUAGAUUCGUUGUGACGAGAGUUGCCAAAUAACUGUAAAGUUAUUUGAUAUAAAUACGAGUAUCGCAUUUAGUUUCAGUUAAACAAACAUCGUUUUCUGUCCAAUUUAUAUUUGUAUAUUUAAUUCAAUAUUAAUAAAUUGUAAGUAAUCGGGGAAAAAUUUAUAUCUUAAUUUCCACGAUAUUACAAUAUUGUAUAUUAAUAUAUUUAAAUAUAUUCAGAUAACUAUAGUGAGGAAGUUUGUCAGCUUCCACCCUGACAUCUCUUUCCGAAUUUCCACUUUUUGCAUAUGUCUGUUCUCUUUUGUAAUUCCUCUCCACUUUAUCGCCACCUGUAUCAAUCUGGCGCCCUCCGUCGUCAGCAAAGGUUCCAGGCUAUGCCAGCAUAUUUUCCUUUCACUGAAUUGUCGAUUAUUUUCUAUAUUUUUGAAUUGAAGGGACAUAUUUUCAGCAUGGACUCCCACAAAAGGUCAAAAAAUAGUCUUGCCGUAGCCUUCUAGUAUACAACGAGGAAGAAUUUGGGGUUCACUCGCUGUAUCAGUUAUUUUACAGUCGUCAAAUGACCGCCGCAGGGAGACUUGUUCAAGCAUCACCCCCCGCCCCCUCCCCAGUGGAUACUAGGGGGUCCGAAAUUUCCUGCAUCGCAACGUUCUUCUCUCUGUCUGCACUUUCUAUAACUUUUAUAUAAAAAGAUAAGCAAGCCAUUUAACGUGCCCUGUCGUCAUCGCAUUACUACACUCGAUUGGCCACUUACUCUUUUGCAUCCUGUUCAGAAAGUCAAAGUCACGCGAGCUGGAUUCAGGAGGAUCCGCACGAAGAUGUGGUGAGUGAACCGUUAGACUAAAGAGGGACUGUCAACUUUAUCGAAGUCGCACAUCCAAGACAGAAGAAAGCUGAAGAUUUGAAAACAGUUAAUGACACCGCAGAAUGAGGCGUAAAUCAGGCCAAUAUCAGAAUGUAAUAAUUUAUUAACGAAAAACCAAGAAGAUAAACAAUAUAUUUUACAAAUAUUAGAACGAUAUUACCUUGAUAAAAGCUUGAUGCUCCCCCAACUUUUCAACGAGCAAUGGAAUCUUUGUUACCCGGAAUAACAUGAUUUGUGUAUACAGACAAUAUAAUUAUUCGUGGACGUUUACUUAAAUAACAACAAGAGAGAUUAUAGCAAAUUUUUGGAAGAAUAAUAGACAGUGGAUUAAAAUUGCAACCUAAUAAGUGUCAAAUCUUGCAUGAAGAAACAAUUUAUUUGGGCUAUAUAAUUAUCAAACAUGGUACAAAGUCAGACCCGUAAAGAUUAGGAACAAUUAAUAAUUUUCUUUCUGGAAUUGACAUUAUCGGGAACUUAUAGAACAUUUUUCACAUAUUGUGGAACCUAUUCGGGUUCUAAAUCCCAAACUUUCGGAAUUCAGAUGGCCUGACGAGGAACAAGAAGCCUUUGACAUAUUAAAAAAAAAAAUUGACAACAGCAUGACUGUUACAAUAAACUGAUGUUGCAAAACGAUUUAUGCUCUAUUUAUAACGACGCAUCAGAUAAAAGGGAAACGAUUUACCGGUAGUUUUUGUAAGUAGAGAGUUACUAGCAAUCUUACGAGCGGCUCAACAUUUCCUACUUUUAAGAACUUUUACCAAAAACACUGGAAGUUUCAAAAAAUCAUUAAAGGCUCAGAUGCAUCGCACGUGCUUAUAAGAAACGUGCAAUCUAAGCACAAACAAUAAUAUGAUACCUGUAGAGUGCAACUAUAGCUCGUUAUUAUAACUUAUCUCGUUACUAUAAGCGGAUCGUAUAAGGGGAACAUAUAUACUUACUGCAAUUAUAAUAAUUAGUUAUAAAUACGUUUCACAAUUAAAAUGCGAGAUCAAGGAGUCAGCGAAUAAAUAAUUCAUACAUCGAGAGGAUGAAACAGAACUCCGGCAUAUUACAAAACGAACCGCCAAUCUUCAUAGACAAUAAACACUAAUCGUAAUCGUACAGGACUAAGCCGAAAACAAACUAUGUAAAAAUUAUUAUUUAAACUUGCCUAUGAUAUGACUAGACUGCGGAUUCAUACUUUUCUGAACAAAAUUAAAGAAAUAGAAUCUAUAUAGAAAUUGUUUCAUUCACUAAAAAUUAUAGAAACUGCUGUGAUUUCAAUAAUUUAUGUAUUUUUAUGCACUAUAUGCGGAUUUUUGCAGUCUAGUUAUUACUAUUAUGUAUUACCGACGUAUUAUGUAAACUGGUUAUUAUCUUUGUAAAGUGAUAUAUUACGUUAUACAGAGUGAGUCAGUAAAAACGAUCAACUGAAAUAACUCGUUACCUAUUGAUUUUAUAAAAAAAAUGUUUGAAAUAAAAUUUAUUCUAUUUCAGAGA